Molecule: long non-coding RNA, 398 nt
Organism: Gadus macrocephalus (Pacific cod)
Lineage: Eukaryota; Metazoa; Chordata; Actinopteri; Gadiformes; Gadidae
Exons: 2
Source: RefSeq, a predicted model, not a curated record
GUCCCCCCACAGCCCAGAGCUGGGACAGCUCAGGGUCAGGCCAGCCUUCAGCGAUGGGCCGGCUGAGCCUAGAGCAGCUGCUGUCUGAUGGAGCAGGAACAAACAUCUCAACGUCCUCCUAAUAGUGAACAUCUGGAUGAAGUCCUUGGCAGAGUAGCAGCCUUUCUGUAGGACGAUGUCCCCCGUCACCUCGGAGCACUGACCAAUCAGGACCAGGAGUUUGUGACGAGAAACAUCUGCCACAAAGCUGCGGACCUACAGAGAGAACCAACAUAAUAAACAUGAUCUAUCAUAUCUCAUGAUCCAUCAUAUCUCUGUUAUAUCAUAUCUCUAUAAUAAACAUUAUCCUAUCAUAUCUUUGUUAUAUCAUAUCUCUAUAAUAAACAUGAUCCAUCAUA